AUACGGAGGAUCCGAGCGUUAUCCGGAUUUAUUGGGUUUAAAGGGAGCGUAGGUGGACAGUUAAGUCAGUUGUGAAAGUUUGCGGCUCAACCGUAAAAUUGCAGUUGAUACUGGCUGUCUUGAGUACAGUAGAGGUGGGCGGAAUUCGUGGUGUAGCGGUGAAAUGCUUAGAUAUCACGAAGAACUCCGAUUGCGAAGGCAGCUCACUGGACUGCAACUGACACUGAUGCUCGAAAGUGUGGGUAUCAAACAGGAUUAGAUACCCUGGUAGUCCACACAGUAAACGAUGAAUACUCGCUGUUUGCGAUAUACAGUAAGCGGCCAAGCGAAAGCGUUAAGUAUUCCACCUGGGGAGUACGCCGGCAACGGUGCAACUCAAAUGAAUUGACGGGG
This 393-nucleotide ribosomal RNA is filed under the name uncultured bacterium. Its description in RNAcentral is "partial 16S ribosomal RNA". It matches the Rfam family "Bacterial small subunit ribosomal RNA", at positions 523 to 918 of the family's 1533-position model. The record is from RNAcentral.